CCCACUGAUAAUAAACGUAAUGCGUGAUUUCAUCGUCUUUGGUGAAUGGUCCAACACCUGGGUGAGGUAACACAUCCUAUUGGCAUUGUACUAGAAACGCGAUAUAUUAACCUGUAGCUGUAGCUGUAUUAUAUGGUGAAUCCUGAAGUUGGAGUUCAGUGAGAAGAUGGGACUUUGGAAUAGAAGAAUAACACAGGACACUGAAACUGUAGAUUUAUUUUAUACCUCUUUUCCUGUAGUGGGUUCAGUUGCCAAGUAGGUAUAGGAGUAUAUAUGUAUGAAGAAGAACUUCCCUGUUUAGUCCCCCAUCGGCCCCAUGGGACACGAGUCUUUUUUUUGCACAGCAUGAUUCACCAAUACUGAUACCCAAGCAGAAGAAAAAGAAGAAUGAGGAUACGGAUGGCACCCAAAUACGAGUAUAGAGUCAAGCGACUGAGAGUAAUGCUUAAAUUUAAAAAAGUUAGUCAACUUUAACCGUACACCGUACACUGGAAUGGUGAUGUCAUUAUUUUAGAUUACUUGCAG
Molecule: long non-coding RNA, 525 nt
Organism: Cotesia glomerata
Lineage: Eukaryota; Metazoa; Arthropoda; Insecta; Hymenoptera; Braconidae
Exons: 2
Source: RefSeq, a predicted model, not a curated record